UGAGUUCAAUGAUGAAUAACAUAUCCUUACCUACAUUAUCUGAAUUUGCUGAAGAAGAGCACCAAUAAAAACUGAGAACUCA
Macrosteles quadrilineatus (aster leafhopper) is the source of this 82-nucleotide small nucleolar RNA. RefSeq annotates it as small nucleolar RNA SNORD34. NCBI's taxonomy places the organism in Eukaryota, Metazoa, Arthropoda, Insecta, Hemiptera, Cicadellidae. The transcript has a single exon. The record is from RefSeq and is a predicted model, not a curated record.